AUGCCUCUCACCCUGCAGAGGGUCCUAUCUUGUCCCACAGGUAGAUCUACACCACCACUAGCCGCCCCUCCAACUUGCACAGGCCCCCGCCCUCCAGGGCCUCCUUUUCGGUCUGGCGGGUCCUGCCUCCUCCUCACCCAGAAGCUUCUCUGGCCCUCUGGAGUCCGGGCACACCUUAUGCAAGAACAAUGUCCACAUUCCUUUGUCCUUGGACUCCACUUGGCUGAGGUCUCCUCCCUGGGCUCUGGGAGUUUCCCCAGCCUGCUUUCCCAAGUCUGGACUUUCCCUCUGGCCCUCCCCCUCUCGGGCUGGCAGGGUGGGGGAAGCAGCCUCUUCCUGGGCUCAGAGAAUCCCACCCCAGCUCAGAAGGUGCAGGACCGCAGCCCGGGACGGACCUCAUCCCUCCUAGGGACUCCAGACCACUGUCUCUCUCAGCAGGUCCUGGCUCCUGGAACUCUUGGCCACCAUGGUUUCCGAGAGCCUGUCCGAUGGCAUGAAGAAACUGAAUGCUCGAAUGCAUCAGCUUGUGGACAAAUUUACUGAAAAAAUGGGAAACAAGGAAUCGGAACCUGAAAAGGUGAAGUUGAGCCUGGAUGAUCUGGAGGUGAGCCGCCGCCUCCCCGUCCACCAUGCUUAGUCCCUGGGUCUUAGGCUCCACAGGGUACUAAGUCUGGGCUCUGGGUCCCCUUGGGAAUCAACCUGGAGCAGUAGGGGCCACAGUGGGGAGGGGGCGGCAGGAGCAGCCCAAGCACCCUGUGUCUUCCUCUCCCAGGACGACUUCAGAGAGUGCAUGUUGGACACCGUGGUGGAUUGCUAUCAAGGACAGCACCUGGUGAGUGAGAGGCACCCAUCUCUGCGCCUUACCUCCCUUCACCUUUGCCCUGUCUUUUUUUUGUUUUUUUGACACAGAGUCUCACACUGUCACCCAGGCUAGAGUGCAAUGGAGCCAUCUGGGCUCUCUGCAACCUCCCUCUCCCAGGUUCAAGUGAUUCUCCUCCCUCAGGCUCCUCAGCAGCUGAGACUCUAGAAGUGCACCACCAUGCCCGGCUAAAUUUUAUUUUCAUUUCUAGUGCGGGCAGAGUUUCGCCAUGUUGUCCUGGCUCAUCUUGAACUCCCAACCUUUUGAUCUGCCUGUCUUGUCCUCCCUUCAUGCGUGAGCCACCACGCCUGGCAGACCCCUGCCCUGUCUUGAUGUUGGUGUGGGCAGGGUGUGCCCAGCCCCGGAGCUGAGGGUGGAGGGCUGGGAGUGACAGCCGAGCUGGGAGCUGCCCCCACCCUCCUCCAGCACACAGUAGCAGAGCCCUGCCUUCGACUCAAGGCACAAUGGGGGCCCUGGCCUGGUGACCAAGCAGACACAGCCACUGUGUCACUGCUGUGGAGGGGAGUGGAGAGGAGGGGACUCUGGGAAAAGUCCCUCCUGUCCAUGGUGCUGUGGCUGAGAAACCAACACCUGUGGGCUUCCAUCUCCCAGACUCAGGAAAAGGCUGGGAGGCCUGGGUGUGGCCAGGGCCUGGGGCCGACACCCCCACCUGCAGACCCUGAAUGGUGCCCCCUUUCCACAGGAGCUCAUUCCUCUACUUGAAAAAGAAAGAGAUGAAUUACGACUCAGAGGCAACAGACCCCCUGCUCUGGAAGCUGAGGACCCCGAAACCCAGGAGCCCGAGGAGAGCUUUUGUGACAAGGUGAUGAGAUGGUUCUGCGCCAUGAUGCAGCGGCUGCAGAUGUGGUGGCAGAAGUUUGUGGCCUGGGUGAAGAAGGUGGUGGCGGCCCUGGUCGAUGCAGCAAAGGCCUUCUGGAAAGAGCUUGAGCGUUUCUGCUGCUCUCUGGCAGAGCUCCUCAGGUCCCUUUUCAGUACUAAGGAAGCCCAUAGAGGGGAUUGAGGAGCUGACAGCCCAGAAGUGCUAUGAACCCCAGUGAAGCUUCCAAUGCCACUUUUGCCCUCCCCUUCACCUCGAACCCACCCUGACCCCUUCCUCAGCUCUGCUAUGCCCUGCCCCCCUCCCACACACCCAAGCCCCUUGCCUGGCGUUGCUGCUGCAGCUCUGACCUGGCACUAUCACGAUGGUGUCAUAAUAAAACCUUAAACUUACCUGGCAGAGGAGAUACUGUGAUCGCAAGAGUGGUUUUCCCAGGACAAGGCUCAUUCGUUGCUGUAUUAGCCCAUUUUCACACUGCUGUAAAGAAUGUUCCACAUGACUGGGGAGGCCUCGGGAAACUUACAGUCACGGGAGAAGGUGAAAGAAGGAAGUCACGUUCUGCGUGGCAGCAGGAGAAGCGGGGUGUUGGGAACUGCCAAACACCUUUUUUUGGGGGGGGAUGGAGUGUUGCUGUUAUCGCCCAGGCUGGUGUGCAAUGGGGUGAUCUUGGCUUACCGCAACCUCCGCCUCCCGGGCUCAAGUGAUGCUCCUACCUCAGCCUGUGGAGUAGCUGAAAAUUAGCCUGGCUGAUUUUGUAGUUUUAGUACUGAUGCGCCUUCACCAUGCCGGUCAGGCUGCUGUGACCAACAUCAUGUCUCUGACUCCAGGUCUCACAUCCAGGGCAGGCUGAUGAAGGGGUGGUCCCCAGGGCUUCGGGCAGCUCCGCCCCUGUGGCUCUGCAGGGUCCAGUCCCUGCAACUGCUUUCAGGGGGCUGGUGUUGAGUGUCUGCGGCUUUUCCAGGCACACGGUACAAGCUCUUGGUGGAUCUACCAUUCUGGGGUCUGGAGGACAGUGGUCCCCUUCUCACAGCUGCAGUAGGCAGUGCCCCAGUGGGGACUCUGUGUGGGGGCUCCAACCCUGCAUUUCCCCUCUGCAUUGCCCUAGUAGCUGUUCUCCAUGAGAGCCCCGCCCCUGCAGCCGACUUCUCCCUGAUCGUACAGGCAUUUCCCUACAUCUGCUGAAAUCUAGGCAGAGGCCCCCAAAGCUCAACUCUUGUCUUCUGCACACCUGCAGGCCCAACACCACGUGGAGGCUGCCAAGGCUUGGGACAUGCACCUUCUGAAGCCACGGCCUGAACUGUACCUUGGCCCUCUUUAGCCGCAGCUGGAAUGGAAUGGCUGGGACACAGGCCGCCAUGUCCCAAGGCUGCACAGAGCAGCAGGGUGCUGGGCCUAACUUGAAUUUCUCUCCAGAAAAUGGGUUUUUCUUUUCUACCAUAUGGUCAGGCUGCAAACUUUCCCAUCUUUUACAGUCUGCUUCCCUUUUAAAUGUAAGUUCUAAUUCUAAACCAUGUCUUUGUGAGUGCACGGAACCAUGUGGUCUCAGGAAAAGACAGAGCACGUGUUGAAUGCUUUGCUGCUUAGAAAUUUCUACUGCUGGUAGAGAGCGCUGGCUCACGCCUGUAAUCCCAGCACUUUGGGAGGUUGAGGCAGGUGGAUCACCUGAGGUCAGGAGUUCAAGACCAGCCUCAUCAACAUGGAGAAACCAUCUCUACUAACAAUACAAAAUUAGCUGGGCAAGGUGGUCCACGCCUGUAGUCUCAGCUACUUGGGAGGCUGAGCCAGGAGAAUUGCUUGAACCCAGGAGGCAGAGAUUGUCGUGAGCCAAGAUCUUGCCAUUGCACUCUAGCCUGGGCGACAGAGCAAAACUUCAUCUCAAAACAAAAAACGAAAGAAAACAAAAAUUAGCUAGGUGUGGUGGCACAUACCUGCAAUCCCAGCUACUCAGGAGGCUGAGGCAGGAGAAUCAUUCCACAGCACUCCAGCCCACCCCUGCCCUCCAAGAAAGAAAUGUCUACUACAAGACAAGCUGAAUCAUCUCUCUCUCUUUUUUUUUUUAAUUUUGAGACGGAGUUUCACUCUUGUUACCCAGGCUGGAGUGCAAUGGUGUGAUCUCGGCUCACGGCAACCUCCGCCUCCUGGGUUCAGGCAAUUCUCCUGCCUCAGCCUCCUGAGUAGCUGGGAUUACAGGCGCACGCCACCAUGCCCAGCUAAUUUUUUGUAUUUUUAGUAGAGACGGGGUUUCACCAUGUUGACCAGGAUGGUCUUGAUCUCUUGACCUCCUGAUCCACCCGCCUUGGCCUCCCAAAGUGCUGGGAUUACAGGCGUGAGCCACCGCGCCCGGCGCUGAAUCAUCUCUUUCAAGUUCAAAGUACCACAGGGCAGGGGCCACCAGUCUCUUUGCUCUAGCACAGCAAGUUCCUAUCUCCAUCUGAUACCCCCUCAGCCUGGACGUCAUUCUCCGUAUCACCAUCCGCAUUUUGCUCAAAGCCAUUCAACAAGUCUCUAGGAAGUUCCAAACUUUCCCACAUCUUCCUGUCUUCUUCUGAGCCCUCCAAACUGCUCCAGCCUCUUCCUGUCACCCAGUUCCAAAGCUGCUUCCACAUUUUCAGAUGAUCUUUACAGCAGUGCCCACUCCUGAUAUGAAUUUUCUCUCUUGGUCCAUUUUCACACUGCUAUACAGAAUACCUGAGACUGGGUAAUUUAUAAGGAAAAAAGGAUUAAUUGACUCACAGUUCCACAAAACUGGGGAGGCCUCAGGGAACUUCCAAUCACGGUUGAAGGCGAAGGGAAAGCAUGUCUUACACGGUGGCAGGAGAGAGAGAGAGAGAGAGAGAGAGAGGGAGAGAGACAGGGAAAUGCCAAACAUUUUAAAACAUCAGAUCUCAUUAGAACUCACUCAGUUUCACCAGAACAGCACGGGGGAACCCGCCCCCAUGAUCCGGUCACCUCCUCCCUGGUCCCUCCCUUGACAUGUGGGAAUUACAGCUCCAGAUGAUAUUUGGGUGGGACACGAAGCCAAACACUCCGGAUGUGCCGACUCCCGUGACUUCCGCACGUGUGGGACACCUGACUGCAUCCUCUGUGGUGGUGGGACUGCAUUCAUACUCUCCCCUGAAAGCAAUACAGUGAAGCAAUAGCUGCUCAGAUGGAAUCAGGUGCCGGCCUCCAGGCUUCUCUGACAGGCGGGCGCAGGGAGGUGGGGGGCCCGGUAGUGACAGCAAAGGA
Molecule: long non-coding RNA, 4925 nt
Organism: Callithrix jacchus (white-tufted-ear marmoset)
Lineage: Eukaryota; Metazoa; Chordata; Mammalia; Primates; Cebidae
Source: Ensembl